Armigeres subalbatus is the source of this 414-nucleotide long non-coding RNA. RefSeq lists it as uncharacterized. Lineage: Eukaryota; Metazoa; Arthropoda; Insecta; Diptera; Culicidae. The transcript has 3 exons. The record is from RefSeq and is a predicted model, not a curated record.
GUACACCUAUGACGUAGUUGCGCACCUCACGAUCCAACCCCGCCGACUAACCCAUACCAACGCGAACAGGUACAGUACAACCCUUCCGUCGGGAGCGUUGGCCGACACGUCAUUCUUAGCCUCUACAGAUAAAUAGUGGUUAGAUAACAUUAUAACGUGCAUAGUGCAAAUCCCCCUUCUUAUAUCUAAAUAUCCACGAAUAUAUUUAGAGCAAGUGUGAAUUCUGCUAGUGUUAGCUUACAUCUAUUGAAUUAUUCUAACUUAAACGCUACGUUAUACCAUACAUACCUACAUGCAAAGUACGGAUGUUUGUAUAAAGUACGGAGAGUUCAUCAUUAGCACCAUAUAGCGAUUACCGAUCAUUGUCGGCUCAAUAGGUUUCUCCCCAUAAACCCUGCACAGCGGGACUAAACG